This is a long non-coding RNA of Belonocnema kinseyi, 365 nucleotides long. RefSeq lists it as uncharacterized. Lineage: Eukaryota; Metazoa; Arthropoda; Insecta; Hymenoptera; Cynipidae. The transcript is spliced from 2 exons. The record is from RefSeq and is a predicted model, not a curated record.
UUUGUUUUGACAACGUCUGCAGGAUGUGUGAUGACUGAUGCACAAAUGCCAGCUACGAUUCCACAACAAAAAUGAGUGGAAGUCACAUGACUGUAGUGUGGAAGUUCUGGAAAACAAUUAAUAUGAUUUUCAUAUUUGCGAAGUGUUUGUUGUAAAUCUUACCUGUGGAUACUGUGUUUUUGAGUUGGGUAUAGAACAUGAGGUAGAGGCCACUGUAGGGCGCAUCGCGAAGUAAAGUUGGUACGAGGCCACUUGAAAGACCUUUCACGCCUUCGUAUUUGUAAAUUAUUCUCAGCGCCUCACCGAUGCUGUUAUAUUUGUACACGCCGCUCUGAAAGUAAAAAAAUAUAUAUAUUUGAGAUUGA